Molecule: long non-coding RNA, 777 nt
Filed under: Ananas comosus (pineapple)
Lineage: Eukaryota; Viridiplantae; Streptophyta; Magnoliopsida; Poales; Bromeliaceae
Description: long non-coding RNA (ACOM_LNC017465)
Source: RNAcentral
AUUAAAAGGUUAAUAUAUAGAUCAUGAUUUUAUUUUGUAUCGAAUAUGAGGAGCAGGACUUGUAUGCUAUUAGAAGUACGAGGGCCUCCGUACUCCUAAACUGCUUUCGAUAAGUAGAAUCCGUUAAUUUUAAUUUAGUGUAUUUGAAGUAUCUAAAAAAUAAAGUUGUAAUUUUUCAAUAUCGAUCAUUUAUGCAGUAAUCAAAAUAACUUAAAAUGAACGAUUGAAAAUAAAAAUCUUAUAAAAAGUUAUAAUUAAUGUCGCACUAAAAACUUUGAUAAAAGAUGUUAAUCUUGCUGUAGAUAGUAUACAAAUUUUUUUUUCAAAAUUUUAUCUUAUUUGAAUACUUUUGCAUUGUUAAAUUCACAAACAGAUACAUCAACUAUUAAAAAAUAUUGAUUUUGAACACCUUGAUCAUUAGGUAAAUGAUAUAAAAAAAUCGCAAAAAAAUAUUUUUAGAUACUUCAAAUAUGCUAAACCAAAUCUAACAGGGUUGAUCAUCGAUUCGAAAGUUAAAUUAUCAAAAACGGCUUAGAAGCACGAAGUUCUCUAUGCUUCUAAUAGUACGUAAGUCGAUCCUACUCCUAAUAUGAGACUAUUAUAAAGAAACUUUUCAACUCUAGCUUUACAGUAUGUAGCAUUCAAUAUUUAAUAAAGUUUGGACGUCCAAAAAUAUGUGCACAUAACAUGCAUGCAUUGUUACGCUGCACUUAUGAUCGCACUAGGGGCCGUUUGGAUGCAUGGAGUUAGAGAGCGAGAAAUUUAUAAAUUUCUCAA